ACCGGCGAACGGGUGCGUAACACGUAAGCGACCUACCUCGAUGUGGGGCAUAGCCGGCCUAACGGCCGGGUAAUUCCGCAUGUGAUCCUUGGGGGGCAUAUCCCGGGGAUGAAACCAGUAAUGGGCAUUGAGAGGGGCUUGCGGCCUAUCAGCUUGUUGGCGAGGUAACGGCUCACCAAGGCGACGACGGGUAGCUGGUCUGAGAGGAUGGCCAGCCACAUUGGGACUGAGAAACGGCCCAGACUCCUACGGGAGGCAGCAGUGGGGAAUCUUGCGCAAUGGCCUAACGGCUGACGCAGCGACGCCGCGUGAGGGAUGAAGCUCCUCGGAGUGUAAACCUCUGUUGCCCGGGACGAAUAGCGGAUUUUUCCGACUUGACGGUACCGGGUGAGGAAGCACCGGCUAACUCCGUGCCAGCAGCCGCGGUAAUACGGGGGGUGCGAGCGUUGUCCGGAAUCACUGGGCGUAAAGGGCGCGUAGGUGGCUUUGUAAGUUUGCGGUGAAAGCCCGGGGCUCAACCCCGGGUCUGCCGUGGAUACUGCAAGGCUUGAGUACUGUAGAGGCAGGUAGAAUAUCGGGUGUAGCGGUGGAAUGCGUAGAGAUCCGAUAGAAGACCGGUGGCGAAGGCGGCCUGCUGGGCAGUAACUGACACUGAGGCGCGACAGCGUGGGGGAGCAAACAGGAUUAGAUACCCUGGUAGUCCACGCCGU
Molecule: ribosomal RNA, 710 nt
Filed under: uncultured Gemmatimonadaceae bacterium
Lineage: Bacteria; Pseudomonadati; Gemmatimonadota; Gemmatimonadia; Gemmatimonadales; Gemmatimonadaceae
Description: bacterial SSU rRNA
Rfam family: Bacterial small subunit ribosomal RNA
Source: RNAcentral